RNAcentral lists this ribosomal RNA (1208 nucleotides) under Kocuria turfanensis. Its description in RNAcentral is "bacterial SSU rRNA". It matches the Rfam family "Bacterial small subunit ribosomal RNA", at positions 20 to 1237 of the family's 1533-position model. The record is from RNAcentral. Lineage: Bacteria; Bacillati; Actinomycetota; Actinomycetes; Micrococcales; Micrococcaceae.
UGGCUCAGGACGAACGCUGGCGGCGUGCUUAACACAUGCAAGUCGAACGAUGAUCUCCCGCUUGCGGGGGUGAUUAGUGGCGAACGGGUGAGUAAUACGUGAGUAACCUGCCCUUGACUCUGGGAUAAGCCUGGGAAACCGGGUCUAAUACUGGAUACGACCCCCUGUCGCAUGGUGGGGGGUGGAAAGGGUUUGACUGGUUUUGGAUGGGCUCACGGCCUAUCAGCUUGUUGGUGGGGUAAUGGCUCACCAAGGCGACGACGGGUAGCCGGCCUGAGAGGGUGACCGGCCACACUGGGACUGAGACACGGCCCAGACUCCUACGGGAGGCAGCAGUGGGGAAUAUUGCACAAUGGGCGGAAGCCUGAUGCAGCGACGCCGCGUGAGGGAUGACGGCCUUCGGGUUGUAAACCUCUUUCAGCAGGGAAGAAGCCACAAGUGACGGUACCUGCAGAAGAAGCGCCGGCUAACUACGUGCCAGCAGCCGCGGUAAUACGUAGGGCGCAAGCGUUGUCCGGAAUUAUUGGGCGUAAAGAGCUCGUAGGCGGUUUGUCGCGUCUGCUGUGAAAGCCCGGGGCUCAACCCCGGGUCUGCAGUGGGUACGGGCAGACUAGAGUGCAGUAGGGGAGACUGGAAUUCCUGGUGUAGCGGUGAAAUGCGCAGAUAUCAGGAGGAACACCGAUGGCGAAGGCAGGUCUCUGGGCUGUUACUGACGCUGAGGAGCGAAAGCAUGGGGAGCGAACAGGAUUAGAUACCCUGGUAGUCCAUGCCGUAAACGUUGGGCACUAGGUGUGGGGGACAUUCCACGUUCUCCGCGCCGUAGCUAACGCAUUAAGUGCCCCGCCUGGGGAGUACGGCCGCAAGGCUAAAACUCAAAGGAAUUGACGGGGGCCCGCACAAGCGGCGGAGCAUGCGGAUUAAUUCGAUGCAACGCGAAGAACCUUACCAAGGCUUGACAUUCACCGGACCGCCUCAGAGAUGGGGUUUCCCUUCGGGGUCGGUGGACAGGUGGUGCAUGGUUGUCGUCAGCUCGUGUCGUGAGAUGUUGGGUUAAGUCCCGCAACGAGCGCAACCCUCGUUCUAUGUUGCCAGCACGUGAUGGUGGGGACUCAUAGGAGACUGCCGGGGUCAACUCGGAGGAAGGUGGGGAUGACGUCAAAUCAUCAUGCCCCUUAUGUCUUGAGCUUCACGCAUGCUACAAUGGCCGG